GACGAACGCUGGCGGCGUGCUUAACACAUGCAAGUCGAACGGAAAGGCCCUGCUUUUGUGGGGUGCUCGAGUGGCGAACGGGUGAGUAACACGUGAGUAACCUGCCCUUGACUUUGGGAUAACUUCAGGAAACUGGGGCUAAUACCGGAUAGGAGCUCCUGCUGCAUGGUGGGGGUUGGAAAGUUUCGGCGGUUGGGGAUGGACUCGCGGCUUAUCAGCUUGUUGGUGGGGUAGUGGCUUACCAAGGCUUUGACGGGUAGCCGGCCUGAGAGGGUGACCGGCCACAUUGGGACUGAGAUACGGCCCAGACUCCUACGGGAGGCAGCAGUGGGGAAUAUUGCACAAUGGGCGGAAGCCUGAUGCAGCAACGCCGCGUGCGGGAUGACGGCCUGCGGGUUGUAAACCGCUUGCGCCUGUGACGAAGCGUGAGUGACGGUAAUGGGUAAAGAAGCACCGGCUAACUACGUG
Molecule: ribosomal RNA, 468 nt
Filed under: uncultured bacterium
Lineage: Bacteria
Description: partial 16S ribosomal RNA
Rfam family: Bacterial small subunit ribosomal RNA
Source: RNAcentral